AUCGAGAAGGAUAUUGCGGCC
This 21-nucleotide unclassified non-coding RNA is filed under the name Mus musculus (house mouse). RNAcentral describes it as "oocyte_clustered_small_RNA11821". Lineage: Eukaryota; Metazoa; Chordata; Mammalia; Rodentia; Muridae. The record is from RNAcentral.